RNAcentral lists this ribosomal RNA (379 nucleotides) under uncultured cyanobacterium. RNAcentral's name for it is "bacterial SSU rRNA". It matches the Rfam family "Bacterial small subunit ribosomal RNA", at positions 376 to 770 of the family's 1533-position model. The record is from RNAcentral. Lineage: Bacteria; Bacillati; Cyanobacteriota.
CGAAAGCCUGACGGAGCAACGCCGCGUGAGGGAUGAAGGCCUCUGGGCUGUAAACCUCUUUUCUCAAGGAAGAAGAUCUGACGGUACUUGAGGAAUAAGCCACGGCUAAUUCCGUGCCAGCAGCCGCGGUAAUACGGGAGUGGCAAGCGUUAUCCGGAAUUAUUGGGCGUAAAGCGUCCGCAGGCGGUUCUGUAAGUCUGCCGUUAAGGCGUGGAGCUUAACUCCAUUUCGGCGGUGGAAACUGCAGGACUUGAGUGUGGUAGGGGCAGAGGGAAUUCCCGGUGUAGCGGUGAAAUGCGUAGAUAUCGGGAAGAACACCAGUGGCGAAAGCGCUCUGCUGGGCCAUAACUGACGCUCAUGGACGAAAGCCAGGGGAGCG